AUAUUGGACAAUGGGCGAAAGCCUGAUCCAGCAACGCCGCGUGAGGGAUGACGGCCUUCGGGUUGUAAACCUCUUUCAGUAGGGACGAAGCUAACGUGACGGUACCUACAGAAGAAGCACCGGCCACCUACGUGCCAGCAGCCGCGGUAAUACGUAGGGUGCGAGCGUUGUCCGGAAUUAUUGGGCGUAAAGGGCUCGUAGGCGGUUUGUCACGUCGGGAGUGAAAACUCGGGGCUUAACCCCGAGCCUGCUUCCGAUACGGGCUGACUAGAGGUAUGCAGGGGAGAACGGAAUUCCUGGUGUAGCGGUGAAAUGCGCAGAUAUCAGGAGGAACACCGGUGGCGAAGGCGGUUCUCUGGGCAUUACCUGACGCUGAGGAGCGAAAGUGUGGGGAGCG
RNAcentral lists this ribosomal RNA (397 nucleotides) under uncultured bacterium. RNAcentral's name for it is "bacterial SSU rRNA". It matches the Rfam family "Bacterial small subunit ribosomal RNA", at positions 361 to 770 of the family's 1533-position model. The record is from RNAcentral.